Molecule: ribosomal RNA, 466 nt
Filed under: uncultured bacterium
Lineage: Bacteria
Description: bacterial SSU rRNA
Rfam family: Bacterial small subunit ribosomal RNA
Source: RNAcentral
GAACGCGGUUAUCUCCGCAAGGGGAUAACUGAGUGGCAAACGGGUGAGUAACGCGUGGGUGACCUGCCUUCGAGUGGGGGAUAACGUUUCGAAAGGAACGCUAAUACCGCAUGACAUCCUGUUUUUGAACAGGCGGAGAUCAAAGCCGGGGACCGCAAGGCCUGGCGCUCGAAGAGGGGCCCGCGUCUGAUUAGCUAGUUGGUGAGGUAAUGGCUCACCAAGGCAACGAUCAGUAUCCGGCCUGAGAGGGCGGACGGACACACUGGGACUGAGACACGGCCCAGACUCCUACGGGAGGCAGCAGUGGGGAAUUGUUCGCAAUGGGCGCAAGCCUGACGACGCAACGCCGCGUGGAGGAUGAAGAUCUUCGGGUCGUAAACUCCUUUCGAUCGAGACGAAUGGUUUCCGGGUAAAUACCCCNGGAGAAUUGACGGUACCGAGAGAAGAAGCCCCGGCUAACUCCGUG